UAGCAUAUCAAUAAGCGGAGGAAAAGAAACCAACAGGGAUUGCCCUAGUAACGGCGAGUGAAGCGGCAACAGCUCAAAUUUGAAAUCUGGCUCUUUUAGAGUCCGAGUUGUAAUUUGCAGAGGGCGCUUUGGCUUUGGCAGCGGUCCAAGUUCCUUGGAACAGGACGUCACAGAGGGUGAGAAUCCCGUACGUGGUCGCUAGCUAUUGCCGUGUAAAGCCCCUUCGACGAGUCGAGUUGUUUGGGAAUGCAGCUCUAAAUGGGAGGUAAAUUUCUUCUAAAGCUAAAUAUUGGCCAGAGACCGAUAGCGCACAAGUAGAGUGAUCGAAAGAUGAAAAGCACUUUGGAAAGAGAGUCAAACAGCACGUGAAAUUGUUGAAAGGGAAGCGCUUGCAGCCAGACUUGCUUGCAGUUGCUCAUCCGGGCUUUUGCCCGGUGCACUCUUCUGCAGGCAGGCCAGCAUCAGUUUGGGCGGUGGGAUAAAGGUCUCUGACACGUUCCUUCCUUCGGGUUGGCCAUAUAGGGGAGACGUCAUACCACCAGCCUGGACUGAGGUCCGCGCAUCUGCUAGGAUGCUGGCGUAAUGGCUGUAAGCGGCCCGUCUUGAAACACGGACCAAGGAGUCUAACAUCUAUGCGAGUGUUUGGGUGUCAAGCCCGAGCGCGUAAUGAAAGUGAACGGAGGUGGGAACCCGCAAGGGUGCACCAUCGACCGAUCCUGAAGUUUACGGAAGGAUUUGAGUAAGAGCAUGGCUGUUGGGACCCGAAAGAUGGUGAACUAUGCUUGAAUAGGGUGAAGCCAGAGGAAACUCUGGUGGAGGCUCGCAGCGGUUCUGACGUGCAAAUCGAUCGUCAAAUUUGGGCAUAGGGGCGAAAGACUAAUCGAACUAUCUAGUAGCUGGUUCCUGCCA
RNAcentral lists this ribosomal RNA (909 nucleotides) under Curvularia akaii. RNAcentral describes it as "LSU rRNA". It matches the Rfam family "Eukaryotic large subunit ribosomal RNA", at positions 36 to 963 of the family's 3401-position model. Lineage: Eukaryota; Fungi; Ascomycota; Dothideomycetes; Pleosporales; Pleosporaceae. The record is from RNAcentral.